GACGAACGCUGGCGGCGUGCCUAACACAUGCAAGUCGAACGAAACUUCUUUAAAGGAUUUCUUCGGAAUGAAUUUGAUUAAGUUUAGUGGCGGACGGGUGAGUAACGCGUGAGUAACCUGCCUCUAAGAGGGGAAUAACAUUCUGAAAAGAAUGCUAAUACCGCAUAACAUAUAUUUAUCGCAUGGUAGAUAUAUCAAAGAUUUAUCGCUUAGAGAUGGACUCGCGUCCGAUUAGUUAGUUGGUGAGGUAACGGCUCACCAAGACCGCGAUCGGUAGCCGGACUGAGAGGUUGAACGGCCACAUUGGGACUGAGACACGGCCCAGACUCCUACGGGAGGCAGCAGUGGGGGAUAUUGCGCAAUGGGGGAAACCCUGACGCAGCAACGCCGCGUGAAGGAUGAAGGUCUUCGGAUUGUAAACUUCUUUUAUUAAGGACGAAGAAAGUGACGGUACUUAAUGAAUAAGCUCCGG
This 472-nucleotide ribosomal RNA is filed under the name uncultured bacterium. RNAcentral's name for it is "bacterial SSU rRNA". It matches the Rfam family "Bacterial small subunit ribosomal RNA", at positions 28 to 496 of the family's 1533-position model. The record is from RNAcentral.